This 931-nucleotide long non-coding RNA is filed under the name Homo sapiens (human). RNAcentral's name for it is "HSALNT0361572". The record is from RNAcentral. Lineage: Eukaryota; Metazoa; Chordata; Mammalia; Primates; Hominidae.
AUCUACACCGAGGAAACAAUGUUGCAGCUCAUCAAAUGCAAUCAGCUGCUAAUUGAAAGGAAAUGGAAUUUUACAAUUACAGGCCACCUUUCAGUGCUCAGGAUUUCUAAGCACUUCUCCCCACCUUCCUUUGCCAGCUCAGCACUGGCAGGAGCACUUGACAACCUGCUAGAGACUUCCCUAAAAGCUGCAUUUAGGACCUGGCCCGUUCUCCCCAGCUCCAGAGCAGCAGCAAAGGGAAGCAGCGUCCUCGCCAAUACCUGGGCUGUCCUUCAAGGCUCAGUGCAAGGAAAAACACCUGGGUUGGACAUCAGUCCUCUCUCCCCUUACUCACCAGGUAGUGCUGACUUCCAGACCACUGAGGUCACCUGCAUAAGCGAGUCUGGCAACAAAUAAUCGUCUUCCAGAAAAUGACCAGAAACUCAGCCUGCUUUUUGUCAUUUCACCAGCCCCACCAUCUUUCCUUUAUUCUAGAGCUCCUGGCACACUUACAUGAAUCUCUUGAAAGAAGAGAAAUGAGAGCAUUCAUUCCAUACUAAUACAAUUGUGCCCUAUGGAAAGGCUUUUUGCUGGCAGACAUAGUAGACGGACCAUUUCCCAACUUCUUUUUCUUUGCCACCUUCCAGCCAAAGGUGUCCAUAUGACACAGCUCUGGACAGGAUAAUUGGAAGUCUGUUGUGGGAUUUCUGAGAAAGCUUUUGAUUUUCUGACAGAGACAUUUUUGCUUCCCCUUACCACUUCCUACUGGAUUACAGAUGUGAUGGAAAGAGCUGCAGCAGCCAUAAUACAACCAUAAAGGAGAGGAGAAGAGAAUUGCAAAGGCAUCAACCCACAUUGAAUUGAACUGCUAAGUUAACACUAGCAGUUACUUGCCUCCAGAUAUCUUGGUGUGUGAGAACAUUAAAUCUGUAUGUGUCUAAAUCAGUAUGGG